This is a long non-coding RNA of Panicum virgatum (switchgrass), 271 nucleotides long. RefSeq lists it as uncharacterized. The record is from RefSeq and is a predicted model, not a curated record. NCBI's taxonomy places the organism in Eukaryota, Viridiplantae, Streptophyta, Magnoliopsida, Poales, Poaceae. The transcript is spliced from 3 exons.
GUUUACAACUUUAGAAUCUUAUUCAUCUUGGCCUUUCCAUCAUUCCAAAAAUUCAACAUACAUGACUUCAUUGUUUCUUACAUUGAUGUUCCAAAACAGCAAUCAAAGGAGGACUCUGGAAUCUUUGUAACAUGCUUUAUGGAAACAUAUGAUGGUACAAGCAUUGCUAAGUUCAAUAUUGCAGACAUCCAAGCAUUAAGAGAGAAAAAGCUAUUUCACUUGAUUUUCAGCAAGGAGAAUAAAGCUAAAGCAGAUAUAAUUUCAACAUUUA